GCCAGGUACAGAGGCACAUGUUUGUAGUCCCAGCUACUCAGGAGGCUGAGGCAGGAGGAUCGGUUAAGCCCAGGAGUUCAAGGCCACCCUGGGCAACAUAGCAAGAUCCCAUCUCAU
RNAcentral lists this small RNA (117 nucleotides) under Marmota monax (woodchuck). The record is from RNAcentral. Lineage: Eukaryota; Metazoa; Chordata; Mammalia; Rodentia; Sciuridae.